AUACGGAGGAUCCGAGCGUUAUCCGGAUUUAUUGGGUUUAAAGGGUGCGCAGGCGGCCAUUUAAGUCAGCGGUUAAAUCGUGGGGCUCAACCCCAUUCUGCCGUUGAUACUGGGUGGCUUGAUUGCGGUCGAGGUUGGCGGAAUUCGUUGUGUAGCGGUGAAAUGCAUAGAUAUGACGAAGAACACCGAUUGCGUAGGCAGCUGACCAGAUCGCAAAUGACGCUCAUGCACGAAAGUGCGGGGAUCGAACAGGAUUAGAUACCCUGGUAGUCCGCACAGUAAACGAUGAAUACUUGUUUUCGGCGAUAUAAUGUCGGAGGCAAAGCGAAAGCGAUAAGUAUUCCACCUGGGGAGUACGCCGGCAACGGCGAAACUCAAAUGAAUUGACGGGG
RNAcentral lists this ribosomal RNA (392 nucleotides) under uncultured bacterium. Its description in RNAcentral is "partial 16S ribosomal RNA". It matches the Rfam family "Bacterial small subunit ribosomal RNA", at positions 523 to 918 of the family's 1533-position model. The record is from RNAcentral.